This 87-nucleotide non-coding RNA is filed under the name uncultured Dysgonomonas sp. RNAcentral describes it as "TPP riboswitch (THI element)". It matches the Rfam family "TPP riboswitch aptamer (THI element)". From Rfam's summary of the family: Vitamin B(1) in its active form thiamin pyrophosphate (TPP) is an essential coenzyme that is synthesised by coupling of pyrimidine and thiazole moieties in bacteria. The previously detected thiamin-regulatory element, thi box was extended, resulting in a new, highly conserved RNA secondary structure, the THI element, which is widely distributed in eubacteria and also occurs in some archaea. The record is from RNAcentral. Lineage: Bacteria; Pseudomonadati; Bacteroidota; Bacteroidia; Bacteroidales; Dysgonomonadaceae.
AUCUUGGGGGUGCCUUUAAAAAAUCGGGCUGAGAUCAUACCCAUUUACCUGAUCCGGAUAAUGCCGGCGUAGGGAAGAAGAAAUAAU